This is a long non-coding RNA of Equus caballus (horse), 2609 nucleotides long. The record is from Ensembl. NCBI's taxonomy places the organism in Eukaryota, Metazoa, Chordata, Mammalia, Perissodactyla, Equidae.
UCUUUGUCCUCCUCUCUCCCUGAGCCGCGUCAGUGACUCCUGGGACUCCAGAGACAAACUGUGUUCUGCUGACCCCAAAAUUUGAUGUUGUCAGCCCAUUUCCCUUCUCUGAGCUCCAGACCCCUGAAUCUGACAGCCUCUCUGUUAUCGCUUCUUGAACUCACUGAGAUGAAGCAUCUGCCCCCUAGAGGAAUGAGAGCUCAAAAUAGAAAUAAAGAUUUCAUCCAAAGUGGUCACUGGAAAUGAUUGAAGCAGCAGUCCCUGAGGGGGACCUGACAGUGGCCACACGGCCUCUUCCUAUGAGAUUUUACGGAACAACCACUGAAGACACCAAAACCGUUAUCAGGGCAUUCUUCUCCUCCCCGCUCCUAACUCCCAUCUCAGAAGGCCUGGACCAGUGAUGGGGGCACAGCACAGGGCCUGGAAUGCACACGCUUCUGAGUUCUCCAUCCGCUUCUCCUCAGUCCGGGGCCCCUGAUCUCCCCUGGAGGUGGGGUGGACUCUUCCAGCCCUGAGAGUUGUCUGCACGUGGUCCUUUCUAUUUCCCACAGGGUCCUGGCUCCAAGUCAGGAGGACUCCUUCUUUCAGCAUGGUCCACCCUUCCCUGGGUUAACAAACAUUUGGUUCAUUGAAUGGGGGGAAAGGCAAUGGAGAAAAGAAAAUCCUGGGGACAAAAGCCACCGGUCAAUAUUCCAAAGUAGCCUCCUGGCACAGUGCUGUGGAUACUGAGAAUCUAGGAAAUGUGGGUGUGAAGACAGCAGAUGAACCAGAACUGCCUGAUGUCCUUAGUAGAUAAAUAGGCGUAGCAGACAGAAAAAAAUCAUUUUGCCAGAGAGGAGAAAAACAAGUGUUGUUUCAUCUUCAACAUUACACAGAGGAAUUUCUGGGGGAAAAUGUGAAGAUUUUGUGACUGUUGAAUAGCAAAGAGUAUGAGCCAUUUGUAAAUAUUAAGAAAAAUAAAACAUGUAUUUGUGCCUAAACGUAGCUAGCAAGAAAGUUAAUAAUCACCCACAUAUCUCCCCUUAGUUACCUAAUUAAUCUAAUUGCCUCCUACCAUUUUUUGACCUUUCUCUUCCCACAUAUCCCCAUUUAUUAUUUAUUACCUAAAUGGAGCAACACGGUCACCCCAAACAAAAAGCCUGCAGACAACCGAGAGAAGCCACAUGUUUGAGAAACACUCGCAUCACAUUUUCUUUGAAUCUGCAUUAUUAACAUACCUCCUUUUUUUAGAAUCUCAAACCCUGGGAGGCAAAUGUCAGAUGCAAGUGGAAGGCCAGUGACCUCAUGCUUUUCUGCAAAUACUGCUGGUUCUCCGGGGGCAGGAGGCCGACUCCAGAGGCUUCUUGCUAUUUGAUAAUCCCUCCGGACACAGCAGAACAACACGCACUAAGAGUUUGCCUGCAGGUGACUAAAACUUGACACUCCCAGAAUAGAGUCUGGCUGCCUUCUCCCUCAACACCCUCAACGCCUCCUUCAGACGCACCUUGACAUCUGCCUUCCUUUGGCUGAUUGAGAAAGACUUAAAAUGGUGAAAUCUUGGCACUGGCCGGGUGGCACAGCGGUUAAGUGCACACCCUCCACUUCGGCAGCCCGGGGUUUGCUGGUUUGGAUCCCAGGUGCGGACAUGGUACCACUUGGCACACCAAGCUGUGGCAGGCGUCCCACAUAUAAAGUGGAGGAAGAUGAGCAUGGAUGUUAGCUCAGGGCCAGGCUUCCUCAGCAAAAAGAGGAGGAUUGGCAGUAGUUAGCUCAGGGCUAAUCUUCCUCAAAAAAAAAAAGUUGAAAUCUCUCUUCUUCUUGACAGCCAUAGAGCAGAAAUCUGGCCUUCAGGAGUCCCCGCAGACAACUUUCUCCCGUGAUGCUCUCUCUAUCUGCCUUGGUUUUUGGAAGCUCUGCUUUCUUGCCCUCACUUAGAUAUCUCCUUGGAGAGAGAGCUUUGGAGAAACCAGAAUAAUUGGGCUCCAGGGAGAGCUGAGUGGCAGAGAUGAGGUUUAAACAAACUGACAAAAUAAUUUUUCUCCAUAUCAUGUUUUUAUUUCAAAACCCUGCUUAAAAAUGGACUUCUCAUUGAAGUAUUCUAUUUUUUAAGCAUUAUCAUCGUUAUUAUUAACAAUCACUUAUUGAGAAUCUAGUCAAAGAACAUUGCACUAGGUCCUUCAGCUAGGUUCUUUCAAUUGCUCUUCUGGCAUCCAUGAGAAAGAGGAAUUGUUACUCCUAUUUCAGAGAUUAAAAAACUGAGUGUUAGGGGCUGGCCCUGUGGCCGAGUGGUUAAGUUCACACGCUCCACUUCAGCGGCCCAGGGUUUCGCUGGUUUGGAUCCUGGGCGCGGACAUGGCACUGCUCAUCAGGCCAUGCUGAGGGGGCGUCCCACAUAUAAAGUAGAGGAAGAUGGGCAUGGAUGUUAGCUCAGGGCCAGGGGUUCGUGGGGUCAGAUCUCAGGCAGGGACUUACACACCACUCAUCAAGUCAUGCUGUGGCAGCAUCCCACAUGCAAAAAAUAGGGAAAGACACGCACGGAUGUUAGCUCAGGGACCAUCUUCCUCAAGCAAGAAGAGGAAGAUUGGCAACAGAUGCUAGCCCAGGGCCAAUCUUCCUCACCAAACCAAACC